GUCCUAGCUGUAAACGGUGCACGUUUGCUGUAAAAGGAAUCGACCCCUUUUGUGGCGAAGCUAACGCGUUAAACGUGCCGCCUGGGAAGUACGGUCGCAAGAUUAAAACUCAAAGAAAUUGACGGGGGCCUGCACAAGCGGUGGAGUAUGUGGCUUAAUUCGAUGCAACGCGAAGAACCUUACCUGGCCUUGACAUGCAAGUAGUAGAACCCUGAAAGGGGGACGAGGUAGCAAUACCAGCUUGCACAGGUGCUGCAUGGCUGUCGU
This 267-nucleotide ribosomal RNA is filed under the name uncultured bacterium. Its description in RNAcentral is "partial 16S ribosomal RNA". It matches the Rfam family "Bacterial small subunit ribosomal RNA", at positions 793 to 1055 of the family's 1533-position model. The record is from RNAcentral.